RNAcentral lists this ribosomal RNA (511 nucleotides) under uncultured bacterium. RNAcentral's name for it is "bacterial SSU rRNA". It matches the Rfam family "Bacterial small subunit ribosomal RNA", at positions 17 to 518 of the family's 1533-position model. The record is from RNAcentral.
UUCUGGCUCAGGAUGAACGCUAGCUACAGGCUUAACACAUGCAAGUCGAGGGGCAGCAUUGGGAUAGCUGCUAUUCAGAUGGCGACCGGCGCACGGGUGAGUAACGCGUAUCCAACCUUCCUGCCAGUAGGGAACAGCCCGGCGAAAGUCGGAUUAAUGCCCUAUGUUCUUCAAUGCGGACAUCUAAGUUGAAGGAAAGAUUCAUCGCUGGCAGAUGGGGAUGCGUCCGAUUAGCUUGCCGGCGGGGUAACGGCCCACCGGGGCGACGAUCGGUAGGGGUUCUGAGAGGAAGGUCCCCCACACUGGUACUGAGACACGGACCAGACUCCUACGGGAGGCAGCAGUGAGGAAUAUUGGUCAAUGGGCGUAAGCCUGAACCAGCCAAGUAGCGUGCAGGAAUGACGGCCCUACGGGUUGUAAACUGCUUUUAUGCGGGGAUAAAGUGCGGCACGUGUGCCGCUUUGCAGGUACCGCAUGAAUAAGGACCGGCUAAUUCCGUGCCAGCCGCAGC